GGUGUAGGCGGCGCGAUAAGUCGAAUGUGAAAGCCCGGGGCUCAACUUCGGAAGUGCAUUCGAAACUGUCGGGCUUGAGUACGGGAGAGGGAAGUGGAAUUCCUGGUGUAGAGGUGAAAUUCGUAGAUAUCAGGAGGAACACCUGUGGCGAAGGCGGCUUCCUGGACCGAUACUGACGCUGAGACCCGAAAGCGUGGGGAGCAAACA
This 207-nucleotide ribosomal RNA is filed under the name uncultured bacterium. RNAcentral's name for it is "partial 16S ribosomal RNA". It matches the Rfam family "Bacterial small subunit ribosomal RNA", at positions 568 to 774 of the family's 1533-position model. The record is from RNAcentral.